Triticum aestivum (bread wheat) is the source of this 463-nucleotide long non-coding RNA. RefSeq lists it as uncharacterized. The record is from RefSeq and is a predicted model, not a curated record. NCBI's taxonomy places the organism in Eukaryota, Viridiplantae, Streptophyta, Magnoliopsida, Poales, Poaceae. The transcript has 3 exons.
CAUGAUAUUUUCUUUCUACAUGUACAAUGUUGAUUAUUUAGAGACCUCAUCUUCAUGAGACUAGCAAGGGAUGGACAUUCUGAAGAAGAGGAGAUGAGGUCCCUGCACUUCCGUUGACGAGUAUUUUGUCAGCAUUUCGAUGCGGAGUUCAUAAGGAUUGGUAGCACGGACUGGAGAAUCGUCCGAACCAUCAUGGACACACCAGGGGCAGGGGCUGCAUGCUGCCAAGGCCGAGGCGACUGCCAAGAAGAGUGGGCUCGAUGUAGUGACCAAGGAGGCACAACGUAUGCUCUUCUAUGAUGAUUUGCAUAUGUAACAGUGCUAAUCUCAAUGGAUUUGCUAACAAUCUUCAGAUUUUCGCAUUUGCUAACAAUAGCGUAUAUAUAUGGUAUAUGUGUCUUGGAAUCUUGGUAGUGGUUUAGUGGUUCUUCCUGUUAAGUUGUGCAUAUGAGGUACAACUCUU